AGAGUUUGAUCCUGGCUCAGGAUGAACGCUAGCUACAGGCUUAACACAUGCAAGUCGAGGGAAACGACAUCGAAAGCUUGCUUUUGAUGGGCGUCGACCGGCGCACGGGUGAGUAACGCGUAUCCAACCUGCCCACCACUUGGGGAUAACCUUGCGAAAGUAAGACUAAUACCCAAUGAUAUCCCACGAAGGCAUCCGAAUGGGAUUAAAGAUUUAUCGGUGAUGGAUGGGGAUGCGUCUGAUUAGCUUGUUGGCGGGGUAACGGCCCACCAAGGCAACGAUCAGUAGGGGUUCUGAGAGGAAGGUCCCCCACAUUGGAACUGAGACACGGUCCAAACUCCUACGGGAGGCAGCAGUGAGGAAUAUUGGUCAAUGGGCGAGAGCCUGAACCAGCCAAGUAGCGUGCAGGAUGACGGCCCUAUGGGUUGUAAACUGCUUUUAUAAGGGAAUAAAGUGGGUCUCGUGAGACUUUUUGCAUGUACCUUAUGAAUAAGGACCGGCUAAUUCCGUGCC
This 513-nucleotide ribosomal RNA is filed under the name uncultured bacterium. RNAcentral describes it as "bacterial SSU rRNA". It matches the Rfam family "Bacterial small subunit ribosomal RNA", at positions 8 to 509 of the family's 1533-position model. The record is from RNAcentral.